This 921-nucleotide ribosomal RNA is filed under the name Falcileptoneta coreana. RNAcentral describes it as "bacterial SSU rRNA". It matches the Rfam family "Eukaryotic small subunit ribosomal RNA", at positions 34 to 956 of the family's 1831-position model. Lineage: Eukaryota; Metazoa; Arthropoda; Arachnida; Araneae; Leptonetidae. The record is from RNAcentral.
CNCNNCNAGAUAGCCAGCAUGGUCUAGUCCAACCAAAUUAAGGUGAAACCGCGAAUGGCUCAUUAAAUCAGUUAUGAUUUCUUAGAUCGUACACAAUUACUUGGAUAACUGUGGUAAUUCUAGAGCUAAUACAUGCAGCAGAGCUCCGACCUUCGGGGACGAGCGCUUUUAUUAGACCAAGACCGGCCGGGCCUCGUGUCCGUAGCUAUGGUGACUCUGGAUAACUUUGGGCUGAUCGUACGGACUCGUUCCUACGACGCAUCUUUCAAGUGACUGCCUUAUCAACUGAGAUGGUGGUGUAAAUGACUACCAUGGUUGUAACGGGUAACGGGGAAUCAGGGUUCGAUUCCGGAGAGGGAGCCUGAGAAACGGCUACCAGUUCUAAGGAAGGCAGCAGGCGCGCAAAUUAUCCAAUGAGAGUAAUUUCUCGAGAUAGUGACGAAAAAUAACAAUACGGGACUCUUUUGAGACCCCGUAAUUGGAAUGAAUACAAUUUGAAUACUUUAAUGAGUAUCAAUUUGAGGGCAAGCCUAGUGCCAGCAGCUGCGGUAACUCUAGCUCAGAUAGCGUAUAUUAAAGUUGUUGCGGUUAAAAAGCUCGUAGUUGGAUCUCAGUUCCAGUCCCAGGCACCGCCUACCGGUGGUUAGCCCGGGUUCUGAACAGCCAGCCGGUUUCCCUAGAUGAUCUUCACCGGUUGUCUUUGGUGACCGGCACGUUUACUUUGAAAAAAUUAGAGUGCUCAAAGCAGGCGUGACGCCUGAACAAUGGUGCAUGGAAUAAUAGAAUAGGACCUCGGUUCUGUUUUGUUGGUUUUCUGAACACGAGGUAAUGAUUAAGAGGGACAGACGGGGCCAUUCGUACUAAUCAGCUAGAGGUGAAAUUCAAUGACCUGAUUAGACGAACUAUGCAGNUUUUUUUUUU